AGAAUACUACCCAAUAAUUUUGGUCAUAGAUUCAUCCACCAUAAUUCUACUUUGGAUCCAGCUUCUUCAACCUCUCUAUGUUUCUCUCAUUAACUGUACGUAUUUACUGUAUAUUUUCACUAUUUUUCAAUCAAUUGCUGCAGUAUACAUCAAAUUCAUUUAUGUGCAUGUUUCCAAAUUGAUUCUUAAUUUUGAAUUUUGGAAUUAUGUUAAUAUUGAUUAGUGUUCACUGUGCCCUUUGAUAUAUAGAUAAAUAACUUCCAAAUUACCGAUAAAAAUGGGUUCUUUUUUUGUGCGCUUGUUUAUUGAACUAUAAAAAUCCAUUUUUUUGGUAAUGCGGAGAAUAAGAGGCAUCUAAGAGAUUGUUAGUUUAGAUCCAAAACAAAAAUGGGAUUUCUGGUAACAAGUCUAAUAUUUGUUGCAAUUGAGGUUAUUGCAUCUCUGUGCACCAGAAUUUGUUGCAAUAGAGGCCCUUCUACUAAUCUGUAUGUUCUUUUUUUGUUUCAUUUAUGUCUUCCCUAUUAGAUUUCUACUUUACUUUACUUUGAUUGAUUAUAAUAUGUGAUGCAGGUUGCACCUAACUUUGAUUAUCACAGCGACCGUCUGCUGUUGGAUGAUGUAAGUGUGCUAUAUACUUGAAAUUUCUGUUUCAGCUGCAAAACUAUGUAGGGAGUACAUAGCUAUUGUUCUAUGAAUUUUUUUAUAUUUGAAAAUGUUUGGAUGCCUUUAGGUAGAGUAUGGAGCUUUGAAUAUAACACCAAAAAAGUAGAGUAUUGAAUAAUUGCAUUUCGUCCUUAAAGACUUUGGUUAGAUAAAAAUAGACCGUUUAGUCGAGCCACAACACGGGCGCAAGGGUCUAUCUAAACCAUUGAUCUGUCAUUACUGCUAAAAGCUUGCCAAAUCUAGCAAAUCAUCUCAAAGAUGCUUUGGAAAUGUUAAAAGAAUAGAUAACUCUCGAACUGAUAUAUAAUUUUUCGUGGAUUAAUUUACCCAAAAAGUAAGACUGCAUGAAGCACGGAAAAAAGAGCAAUAAAACCUCUCUCUAGGUAAAAAAUGAUUUCUUUCAUUACUGAUAAAUGAACCUUGGCCCUAAUUCAACCCCAAAAUUUAGUUCAUGAGGUGAGGAUUGCCCAAGACUAUAUAAGGAGAUCAAGGACCUCAAAUCCCACUGAUGUGAAAUAACUCAACACCCCCCUUACGCCUAGGCCUACAAACUGUAGCGUGGACAACAUAAAUGGGCGCCCAACAUCCGUAACAAUAAUUGGGAUGAACCCGACUCUGAUACCAUGAUAAAUGGACCUUGGGCCUAAAUCAAUCUUAAAAGCUAGCCUAUGAGAUGAGGAUUGCCCAAGACCAUAUAAAGAGAUCAAGGACCUCAACUCCUAACUCCUACCGAUGUGGGACAACUCAACACUUAAAAAAAAAGUUAAAAUAAUGAUUUGUCUUUGCUAUGUGCUGUAAUAUUUUAAGGAGAAGAGUUGGCAGAUCAGGGGAAAUCAUCUGCUUAUUACCUAAUAGACCACAAGGUUUUGAAGUACAAGCCUGUACCAAAUUGAAUUAACAUUUAAAUUUAUGAAAUUACCCAUUUCUCAAAUUCUAUGGCAUUAGAGACUCCACAUAAUUUGGUAGAAUGACAAAGAAUAUUACUUGAAAUUUUUACUUUCAAAUAGGAAAAGACUGAAUCAGUUGAAACUGCAAAACAUCAGAAAAGUCCCUCUGCCCUUGUUUAUUUGAUGUAGCAUGACUUUUAUGGUCAAAUUUCGGAUAUGAUCAGGAUGUUUAACACCCUUAUCCUGUCGAGAUUGAGAUUGGUAGUAAUUGAUACCAAAUGAGAUAGACAGAAGGUAGCAUAAUAACAGAAAGGCGAGAUAUUCGUGACUGGUCAAAGAUCAUGACGGAAAUCUCAUAAUGGAUCAAAGCAAGGACGAUUAAUUAGCUAAUCAUGAGAUUUCUUUAUAUAAUUAGUAUUAUAUCAUAAUUAGAAUUCCUCUACUAUUUAAAGAGGAGUUCUAAUUAUUUGUAAGACACUUACAUUCUAAGAGAUCAAAGCAAUAUAACACCUUUUCUUUAGCUCAUAUUCUUGUUCAUCAACUUGCUUAUUUCUUGACUUUUUUGGUUCUAACAAAAUUCUAGGGCACUCUAACUCGAGGGUUGCAUGACGUUUCAACAUUGGUUUGUUUUAUUUUAUUGUUAAUUCUGUUACUAAUCUUUAUAUUUAUCAAUUGAUAUUAGGUGAAAUCACGUGUCUUUAAAACCAAUUUAUAAGUUUAAUUGUUAUUCAAUUUUGAGGGUAAACUGUUUGUCGCCCACCGUGGGGCUAAGGAUAAUAGUGAUUGUCUGGUAUUAACUCCCAUAGCACAUGCUGCUUUACACUUGUUCUUAUAAAUGUCUUUCAUUUCAAG
RNAcentral lists this long non-coding RNA (2402 nucleotides) under Nicotiana benthamiana. Its description in RNAcentral is "long non-coding RNA (NBEN_LNC042272)". Lineage: Eukaryota; Viridiplantae; Streptophyta; Magnoliopsida; Solanales; Solanaceae. The record is from RNAcentral.